UACUGCGUGGCGCAACGGUAGCGCGUCUGACUCCAGAUCAGAAGGUUGCGUGUUCAAAUCGCGUUGUGGUCA
RNAcentral lists this transfer RNA (72 nucleotides) under Daphnia pulex (common water flea). It matches the Rfam family "tRNA". From Rfam's summary of the family: Transfer RNA (tRNA) molecules are approximately 80 nucleotides in length. The record is from Rfam by way of RNAcentral. Lineage: Eukaryota; Metazoa; Arthropoda; Branchiopoda; Diplostraca; Daphniidae.